GUCAGCCCUGGAGACAGGGAAGAAGGAUUCGAUCAUUGACAACUGAAUCGGCAGAAAAUACAAGAAGAGGGCAACGCAGGACCGGGGGAACCCGGAGAAUGCGAGUCAACAAGCUUUUUGGAGCAAGGGCGAAGAGUAAGCGUUCAAGUGACAAAGGGCAGACGGGGAAUGCCUAGGCAGCAGGAAGGCGAAGAAAGGACGUGGCGAGCUGCGAAAAGCUUCGGGGAGCCGCUCACAGGCGUUGAUCCGGAGAAAUCCGAAUGGGGGAACCCCACUGGGGAAUGCCCCAGUGAGCCUUGCCUGAAUUCAUAGGGCAAGGCGGCAAACCCGGGGAAGUGAAACAUCUCAGUACCCGGAG
Molecule: ribosomal RNA, 358 nt
Filed under: uncultured bacterium
Lineage: Bacteria
Description: partial 16S ribosomal RNA
Rfam family: Bacterial large subunit ribosomal RNA (bases 142-358)
Source: RNAcentral